RNAcentral lists this ribosomal RNA (210 nucleotides) under uncultured Streptococcus sp. RNAcentral describes it as "partial 16S ribosomal RNA". It matches the Rfam family "Bacterial small subunit ribosomal RNA", at positions 1175 to 1382 of the family's 1533-position model. The record is from RNAcentral. Lineage: Bacteria; Bacillati; Bacillota; Bacilli; Lactobacillales; Streptococcaceae.
UGGGAUGACAUCAAAUCAUCAUGCCCCUUAUGACCUGGGCUACACACGUGCUACAAUGGUUGGUACAACGAGUUGCGAGUCGGGUGACGGCGAGCUAAUCUACUUAAAGCCAAUCUCAGUUCGGAUUGUAGGCUGCAACUCGCCUAUAUGAAGUCGGAAUCGCUAGUAAUCGCGGAUCAGCACGCCGCGGUGAAUACGUUCCCGGGCCUU